This 459-nucleotide ribosomal RNA is filed under the name uncultured bacterium. RNAcentral describes it as "bacterial SSU rRNA". It matches the Rfam family "Bacterial small subunit ribosomal RNA", at positions 29 to 531 of the family's 1533-position model. The record is from RNAcentral.
AACGAACGCUGGCGGCAUGCCUAACACAUGCAAGUCGAACGAAGCCUUCGGGCUUAGUGGCGCACGGGUGCGUAACACGUGGGAAUCUGCCCUUCGGUUCGGAAUAACAGUUAGAAAUGACUGCUAAUACCGGAUGAUGACGAAAGUCUAAAGAUUUAUCGCCGAAGGAUGAGCCCGCGUAGGAUUAGGUAGUUGGUAGGGUAAUGGCCUACCAAGCCGACGAUCCUUAGCUGGUCUGAGAGGAUGAUCAGCCACACUGGGACUGAGACACGGCCCAGACUCCUACGGGAGGCAGCAGUGGGGAAUAUUGGACAAUGGGCGAAAGCCUGAUCCAGCAAUGCCGCGUGAGUGAUGAAGGCCUUAGGGUUGUAAAGCUCUUUUACCAGGGAUGAUAAUGACAGUACCUGGAGAAUAAGCUCCGGCUAACUCCGUGCCAGCAGCCGCGGUAAAGUCUGUACU